AGUGAACGCUGGCGGUAGGCCUAACACAUGCAAGUCGAACGGCAGCACAGUAAGAGCUUGCCCUUACGGGAGGCGAGUGGCGGACGGGUGAGGAAUACCUCGGAAUCUACUUUUUCGCGGGGGAUAACGUGGGGAAAACUACGCUAAUACCGCAUACGACCUACGGGUGAAAGCAGGGGAUCUUCGGACCUUGCGCGCUCGAAUGAGCCUAUGUGGGAUUAGCUAGUUGGCGGGGUCAAGGCCCAGCCAGGCGACGGUCCGUAGCUGGUGUGCGAGGAUGAUCGGCCACACUGGAACGGAGACACGGUCCAUGGUCCUGCGGGACGCAGCAGUGGGGAAUAGUGGACAAUGGGGGCAAGCCUGAUCCAGCCAGACGGCGUGGGUGGAGAAGGCCUUCGGGUUGUAAAGCCCUUUUGUUGGUAAAGAAAAGCAGCAGGUUAAUACCCCGCUGUUCUGACGGUACCCAAAGAAUAAGCACCGGCUAACUUCGUG
Molecule: ribosomal RNA, 492 nt
Filed under: uncultured bacterium
Lineage: Bacteria
Description: partial 16S ribosomal RNA
Rfam family: Bacterial small subunit ribosomal RNA
Source: RNAcentral